RNAcentral lists this long non-coding RNA (878 nucleotides) under Chrysolophus pictus (golden pheasant). RNAcentral's name for it is "lncRNA (ENSCPIG00010014584.1)". Lineage: Eukaryota; Metazoa; Chordata; Aves; Galliformes; Phasianidae. The record is from RNAcentral.
CUUUUACAAAUAUAUACUUUAUAAAAGAUAGUCAUAGCAUUUAAUAAGAUAUCUUAAAUCUUAACAGGUCGUUGUUAUAUUCAAUAUAUUGUUAAAAUAUCCGUUACAACAGAAGAUUAUAACCUUAUGUCCUCAUAUAAACAAAUGUUUUUAGCUUCUUAAGAAGCCUGAAAAAGGAGAUGAGCCAGCCAGUGAGAAGCACAAAGAAAAAGAUGAAGAAGCUGACACUGAAGAAAGCAAAUGGGAUAAGUCUCCUGGACCUGGGAGUAUAAGAUCCAAAUCAUUGGAAGGUUCACUAAAAGAGCUUAAGGAGAAGUCACAAAAUGAUAGUGACAAAGAGCAAAGAGAUUUGGAGAGAAGAUUUCGAGAUAAAGAACCUGAAAGGCAAAGGUAUCGACUGGAUGAUGGCAGAAAGCAUAGAACUCACUAUGAGUUUGACAAGUUUGUGAGAAGGAAUGAAGAAGAGCUGAAAUGGGGGAAAGGAUACAACCAAGACAGAGGAAAGAAAGGGAACCACAACUACAACUUCACUGUGGAGGCAGUAGACAAACUGGGAUCGCCCAGCCAUGCAGCUGUACCAGCCAGGGGCUCGCAUCCGAACGCAUACGGGAUCCACGAGUAAAGCCUACGACUGCAGUGGGAAGUCUUCUGAAGAUGCCCUUGACAAAAAGUAUGAGGUGGAUAACUCAGUGGGAGGUGGCUCUGAGAAGAGUGAGGAGGCAGAAUAAAACAAACUAGAGGAAAGACUUGUGGAAAAGGAUGUACUUCAGAUUCAACAUCGCCACAUAGAGCUGUUUCAGAAGCCCAACACCAACAAAAUUGUCAUAGCUUUCUCUUACUUCCUCUGAAAUAAAGGAAAGAGAGACUGGAGCUAUACA